Long non-coding RNA from Neofelis nebulosa (Clouded leopard), 591 nucleotides. RefSeq lists it as uncharacterized. The record is from RefSeq and is a predicted model, not a curated record. The transcript has 2 exons. Lineage: Eukaryota; Metazoa; Chordata; Mammalia; Carnivora; Felidae.
AAAUAAAUAAGACAUGAAGAUGUAAUUGCCGUAUAAGGAAUGUAGUCAAUGAUAUUGUAACAACUGUAUGGUGACAGAUGAUAACUAGACUUAUUGUGGUGACUGUUUCAUAAUGUAUAUAAAUAUAUCACUGUUCUACAGCUGAAGCUAACACAAUAUUAUAUGUCAAUUAUUCAAUAAUAAAUAAUAAGUUUUUGGCCAAAUCAAAGCCAGGUCCUAUUAUCAUCAUCAUAAAAUGAUAAUAGGAUAAGUCUGCAGUUUAUCCAAAAAUAUUUAUUACAAUUUUGCUUAAAGAAUUUAGAAGUCAAUGCUUUAGAGUUUGACAGAAUGCAGGGUAAAGUAUUGUUACUAGACUACCUGCAGACACUAUACAUAUUUGAUACAAUAAAAUGUACAGGUUUGAGAGGCAAUCUACUAUAAUCAUUUUAAUAAAUUGUUUUUUUAUCCUCCAUUUAAAGGUUGUUGAGGAUUUAAUGAGUCAGAAGAAAAUGAGUUUUCACUACCACUUUUUUCACUGAUACUUUCUUCAUAUACUUUGUGAUAAAGAUGAUUCAUCCAGUAUAUUAUAAUAAAUUAUUGUAUGACUACCAA